CCUACGGGAGGCAGCAGUGGGGAAUUUUGGACAAUGGGCGAAAGCCUGAUCCAGCAAUGCCGCGUGAGUGAAGAAGGCCUUCGGGUUGUAAAGCUCUUUUGUCAGGGAAGAAACGGUGAGAGCUAAUAUCUCUUGCUAAUGACGGUACCUGAAGAAUAAGCACCGGCUAACUACGUGCCAGCAGCCGCGGUAAUACGUAGGGUGCAAGCGUUAAUCGGAAUUACUGGGCGUAAAGCGUGCGCAGGCGGUUUUGUAAGUCUGAUGUGAAAUCCCCGGGCUCAACCUGGGAAUUGCAUUGGAGACUGCAAGGCUAGAAUCUGGCAGAGGGGGGUAGAAUUCCACGUGUAGCAGUGAAAUGCGUAGAUAUGUGGAGGAACACCGAUGGCGAAGGCAGCCCCCUGGGUCAAGAUUGACGCUCAUGCACGAAAGCGUGGGGAGCAAACAGGAUUAGAUACCCUGGUAGUCCACGCCCUAAACGAUGUCUACUAGUUGUCGGGUCUUAAUUGACUUGGUAACGCAGCUAACGCGUGAAGUAGACCGCCUGGGGAAGUCGGUCGCAAGNUUAAAACUNAANAGAGAGAGNGNGAGAGNGCGAGGACGACGACGAGGGAGAGG
This 615-nucleotide ribosomal RNA is filed under the name uncultured bacterium. Its description in RNAcentral is "bacterial SSU rRNA". It matches the Rfam family "Bacterial small subunit ribosomal RNA", at positions 338 to 944 of the family's 1533-position model. The record is from RNAcentral.